UGGACCAGUCGAUAAUCGGUCUCGCCUGCCCACUGAUUAGUUAAAGGGCCGCGGUAUACUAACCGUGCGAAGGUAGCAUAGUAAAUAGUCUUUUAAUUGGAGGCUUGAAUGAACGGUCGGACAUGAAGGUAACUGUCUCGUAGUUUGGAUUUGAAAUUAACUUUUGUGUGAAAAGGCAUUAAUGUUUCAGGGGGACGAUAAGGACCCUAUAAAGACUUUAUGAUUGGUCACCAAGGUUCACAUGAUGUGACGGUUAACUUGAACUUUAUGAGGAUCAUUGCGCUGGGGCGGCGCGGAUAUAAAUUGUAACUGUUCUUGGGAGUGAAAUAAUUAUAUUUAGCCAUUUUGACCCUGGAUUCUGGUUUAAAAGUGUAAGUUACUUUAGGGAUAACAGCGUUAUUUCUUGAGAGUUCAUAUCGACAGGGACGUUUGCGACCUCGAUGUUGAAUUAAAGUCUCUCCCGGGGGCAGGAGUUCGUGGGUGUGGGUCUGUUCGACCUUUAAAGCUUUUU
Molecule: ribosomal RNA, 511 nt
Filed under: Alpheus cylindricus
Lineage: Eukaryota; Metazoa; Arthropoda; Malacostraca; Decapoda; Alpheidae
Description: partial 16S ribosomal RNA
Rfam family: Bacterial large subunit ribosomal RNA
Source: RNAcentral